RNAcentral lists this non-coding RNA (748 nucleotides) under Rhopalaea idoneta. Lineage: Eukaryota; Metazoa; Chordata; Ascidiacea; Aplousobranchia; Diazonidae. The record is from RNAcentral.
UGUGAUAUAUUACAUCUCUUUUGAUUUUUUUUCUGUGAAAUAAAUAUAAUAAAUAUGUGUGGGAAGUAUAAAUGAAGUGUAUAUGUAUGACUUUUUAUUAUUUAGUUAUUGAGCAAUUAUUUAUUAUACUCAGCGUAGAGAAAUUGAUUGUCUAAGUUUUCGUGCCAGCAGACGCGGUUAUACGGAGAAUCGUUAUUUCUUUUUUGAGUAUGUAUUUUUUUUUGAGUAUUCUUUUGUAUUUUAGUAAAAUAGUUUUUAUGUUGGGAAUAUAAUAUAGUAUAAAGUUUAUUUGAGAAGCUUGUGUAAAUUUUUGUUUAAAAGCGGAUUAGAGACCCGUGUAUAGGAAAUAGGAUUUUUUUUAAAUAGAAUAUUUAACUUAAGUAAUUAGACGGUCUCUUUUUUAACAGGGAAGCUUGCUCUUUAAACCGAUAGUCCUCGUUAUUUUAGCCAUGUAUGAGUUUCGAAGUUGUGUAUGUCCGUUUAGGAGUUCUAUAAUAGAAAUUCUUCGUAGUUUUUGUAUACUUUAAUUCAGGUCCACAUGCACUUUAUUAUAUGGGAGAAAGAUGAGCUUUAAGUAUAAUAAUAUAAAGGAUGGAUGAAUUUCUUGAAAGAAAACUUGUUAGUAAUAAAUAAAUAUUUAUAUUUUUGUGAAAUUUUAGUAAAGGGGAGUACUCACCGCCCGCUGGUUAGAAUAUAAUGUUCUUUAAAAGCGUAACAAGGUAGUUUAUCUAGAAAGAUGAACUAGAUA